AGCUUUCUGCAUCCGUGCUGAGAUCUCGUCACACACCAGACCAUAAGGGCAGAUGAGACUUCCAAGAUAAGUGAAGGA
RNAcentral lists this microRNA precursor (78 nucleotides) under Schistosoma curassoni. Its description in RNAcentral is "mir-3492 microRNA precursor family". It matches the Rfam family "mir-3492 microRNA precursor family". The record is from Rfam by way of RNAcentral. Lineage: Eukaryota; Metazoa; Platyhelminthes; Trematoda; Strigeidida; Schistosomatidae.